UACGUAGGGAGCGAGCGUUGUCCGGAUUUACUGGGUGUAAAGGGUGCGUAGGCGGGUCUGCAAGUCAGACGUGAAAUCCCGUGGCUUAACUGCGGGGCUGCGUUUGAAACUGCGGAUCUUGAGUGAAGUAGAGGCAGGCGGAAUUCCUAGUGUAGCGGUGAAAUGCGUAGAUAUUAGGAGGAACACCAGUGGAGAAGGCGGCCUGCUGGGCUUUAACUGACGCUGAUGCACGAAAGCAUGGGGAGAAAAC
This 250-nucleotide ribosomal RNA is filed under the name uncultured bacterium. RNAcentral's name for it is "partial 16S ribosomal RNA". It matches the Rfam family "Bacterial small subunit ribosomal RNA", at positions 524 to 773 of the family's 1533-position model. The record is from RNAcentral.